CCUACGGGUGGCUGCAGUGGGGAAUAUUGGACAAUGGGGGGAACCCUGAUCCAGCGACGCCGCGUGAGUGAAGAAGUAUUUCGGUAUGUAAAGCUCUAUCAGCAGGGAAGAAAGGAAGGACGGUACCUGACUAAGAAGCCCCGGCUAACUACGUGCCAGCAGCCGCGGUAAUACGUAGGGGGCAAGCGUUAUCCGGAUUUACUGGGUGUAAAGGGAGCGUAGACGGUUACGCAAGUCUGGAGUGAAAGGCGGGGGCCUAACCCCCGGACUGCUUUGGAAACUGUAUAACUGGAGUGCAGGAGAGGGAAGUGGAAUUCCUAGUGUAGCGGUGAAAUGCGUAGAUAUUAGGAGGAACACCAGAGGCGAAGGCGGCUUACUGGACUGUAACUGACGUUGAGGCUCGAAAGCGUGGGGAGCAAACAGGAUUAGAUACCCGAGUAGUC
RNAcentral lists this ribosomal RNA (443 nucleotides) under uncultured bacterium. Its description in RNAcentral is "partial 16S ribosomal RNA". It matches the Rfam family "Bacterial small subunit ribosomal RNA", at positions 338 to 795 of the family's 1533-position model. The record is from RNAcentral.